UCCCCCAUCUAGCGGAUCUAGGCGCUGGUCUUCUAAACCGGCUAGAGGAGUUCGACUCUCCUAUGGGGGU
This 70-nucleotide transfer RNA is filed under the name Corynebacterium phage C3PO. Its description in RNAcentral is "tRNA-Arg". It matches the Rfam family "tRNA". From Rfam's summary of the family: Transfer RNA (tRNA) molecules are approximately 80 nucleotides in length. Their secondary structure includes four short double-helical elements and three loops (D, anti-codon, and T loops). The record is from RNAcentral. Lineage: Duplodnaviria; Heunggongvirae; Uroviricota; Caudoviricetes; Zierdtviridae.